AUGUGCAUCUCGAAGGCUAGGGAGGAAAACCUUGUUCUCACACUUGAGGAAGGAUGUUGUUUGAGCAGUACACGAGGUCCAAUACGCCAUCUUGUCAUUAGCAGCAACUGGAAAAGAGCUAAAGAUGUGUUUGAUAGUAUGCUGGACUUGUGGCAUGUGAGAUCACUGACUGUGUAUGGAGAGUGGAGACCGUAUUUCAUCUCUGAGAAGAUGAGGUUCCUCCGAGUGCUCGAUUUGGAGGACACAUUACGGUUCAAAAAUCACCAUCUUGAUGAAAUUGGGCAGCUGCAUCACCUCAGAUACCUCUCUAUACGAGAAAAUAUUUGGUACCUUCCUAACUCUAUUGGGAAUUUGAGCCACCUCCAAACACUGGAUAUCAAAGGCACGCGUAUAUUUGAACUGCCAGCAACUGUCACUAAGCUUCGCAAGCUACGACAUCUCCGUACAACUGGCUCUUUGCUUGGCACAGAAAAUGAGAAUGGUAGGGUUUUUUACAAGUAUUGGAAGAUGGAUUGUAUGCGUCGCCAUUCCAUGACAUGGUUCCACUGCAGAUGUUUGCAAUGCCAGGGAAGAAUGUGUCAUGGAGGGCCCGCCCUUUUGUUGUCUCUAGUCAAAUUAUAUUGGAGUACACAACGUUCAGAACUUGGUUGGAACAUGCACGAUAUAUUGAACCUGCACCGCUCUCUCUGGGCGUGUUUACACAAAUGUGUGGAUGGUGUUAAAGCUCCGGGAGGGACUGGAAAAUUGGCGUCCCUGCAAACACUGGGUGUUGUGAACGUUACAAGGGGAAAGGAAAAGGUUAUAAAGGAGCUCAGUGCACUUACUCAGCUGCGUAAGCUAGGUGUGGCUGGUAUCAAGGAGGGAAACGGGAAGAGGUCCUGGUCUGCUAUUGCUGCUCACAACCAACUUCGUUCUUUGACAGUGCAUGGCGAUGAUAUAGAUGGUUGUUUGGGUACGGUUAUUUUGAAAGGUGAGUGGGUUGGUGUUCUUUCUUGGGAAGUUCGUUUGGGUGGGGGUCUGUUUCCACCAGAACACCUUGAGAGCCUCAAGUUGAUCGGCCGUCUACACAAAGUACCGCAAUGGAUGCAACGCCUACAGUAUCUAUCAAAGUUGGACCUAAAGGGCAGCAGAUUGGACAAAGCAGAUGAGAUAGAAACCCUCGGGAGUCUACCAAAUCUUGCAGUUUUACGACUGAGGGGUGGGGCAAUAGUAUUGGAGCAUCUGCAUUUCGUAGGCCCAUCUUUCCCGAUCCUCCUGGCGCUCGAGCUUAACGGAGAGCCCAACUUGGUUACGUUUGAAAAAAGACGUGAUGCCUAA
This 1317-nucleotide ribosomal RNA is filed under the name Triticum aestivum (bread wheat). RNAcentral describes it as "partial small subunit ribosomal RNA". Lineage: Eukaryota; Viridiplantae; Streptophyta; Magnoliopsida; Poales; Poaceae. The record is from RNAcentral.